UACGGGGGGGGCAAGCGUUGUUCGGAAUUACUGGGCGUAAAGGGCUCGUAGGCGGCCAACUAAGUCAGACGUGAAAUCCCUCGGCUUAACCGGGGAACUGCGUCCGAUACUGGAUGACUUGAGUUCGGGAGAGGGAUGCGGAAUUCCAGGUGUAGCGGUGAAAUGCGUAGAUAUCUGGAGGAACACCGGUGGCGAAGGCGGCAUCCUGGACCGACACUGACGCUGAGGAGCGAAAGCCAGGGGAGCAAACGGG
This 253-nucleotide ribosomal RNA is filed under the name uncultured bacterium. RNAcentral describes it as "partial 16S ribosomal RNA". It matches the Rfam family "Bacterial small subunit ribosomal RNA", at positions 524 to 776 of the family's 1533-position model. The record is from RNAcentral.